RNAcentral lists this non-coding RNA (24 nucleotides) under Arabidopsis thaliana (thale cress). Lineage: Eukaryota; Viridiplantae; Streptophyta; Magnoliopsida; Brassicales; Brassicaceae. The record is from RNAcentral.
UUUCAGACCAUUGUCCAUUAAAGA